AAGUGAGGAUGAGAUUGAGAGAGAGAGGAUGAGAGGGGAGGAUGAAAGGGACGAGUAACAUAAGUGAAAAUAAUUUGAAAUAGAUUUCAGUUUUUAGUUUUUAUUUUCACUUUUGUUACUCCUCUCUUCCAUCCUCUCCUCUCAUCUUCCCUCUCAAUCCCAUCUCCACUCA
This 172-nucleotide microRNA precursor is filed under the name Prunus dulcis (almond). RNAcentral's name for it is "sRNA ncRNA". Lineage: Eukaryota; Viridiplantae; Streptophyta; Magnoliopsida; Rosales; Rosaceae. The record is from RNAcentral.